AUGGACGCUGGCGGCAGGCCUAGCACAUGCAAGUCGUAACAAGGUAGCCGUAACUUGCUCUCGGGCUGACGAGUGGCGGACGGGUGAGUAAUGUCUGGGAAACUGCCUGAUGGAGGGGGAUAACUACUGGAAACGGUAGCUAAUACCGCAUAACGUCGCAAGACCAAAGAGGGGGACCUUCGGGCCUCUUGCCAUCAGAUGUGCCCAGAUGGGAUUAGCUAGUAGGUGGGGUAACGGCUCACCUAGGCGACGAUCCCUAGCUGGUCUGAAAGGAUGACCAGCCACACUGGAACUGAGACACGGUCCAGACUCCUACGGGAGGCAGCAGUGGGGAAUAUUGCACAAUGGGCGCAAGCCUGAUGCAGCCAUGCCGCGUGUAUGAAGAAGGCCUUCGGGUUGUAAAGUACUUUCAGCGGGGAGGAAGGUGUUGUGGUUAAUAACCACAGCAAUUGACGUUACCCGCAGAAGAAGCACCGGCUAACUCCGUGCCAGCAGCCGCGGUAAUACGGAGGGUGCAAGCGUUAAUCGGAAUUACUGGGGCGUAAAGCGCACGCAGGCGGUCUGUCAAGUCGGAUGUGAAAUCCCCGGGCUCAACCUGGGAACUGCAUUCGAAACUGGCAGGCUGGAGUCUUGUAGAGGGGGGUAGAAUUCCUGUGUAGCGGUGAAAUGCGUAGAGAUCUGGAGGAAUACCGGUGGCGAAUGCGGCCCCUGGACAAGACUGACGCUCAGUGCGAAAGCGUGGGGAGCAACAG
This 752-nucleotide ribosomal RNA is filed under the name Enterobacter sp. MRF159. RNAcentral's name for it is "bacterial SSU rRNA". It matches the Rfam family "Bacterial small subunit ribosomal RNA", at positions 29 to 774 of the family's 1533-position model. Lineage: Bacteria; Pseudomonadati; Pseudomonadota; Gammaproteobacteria; Enterobacterales; Enterobacteriaceae. The record is from RNAcentral.